This 2899-nucleotide ribosomal RNA is filed under the name Escherichia coli TW10246. RNAcentral describes it as "bacterial LSU rRNA". It matches the Rfam family "Bacterial large subunit ribosomal RNA". The record is from RNAcentral. Lineage: Bacteria; Pseudomonadati; Pseudomonadota; Gammaproteobacteria; Enterobacterales; Enterobacteriaceae.
UAAGCGACUAAGCGUACACGGUGGAUGCCCUGGCAGUCAGAGGCGAUGAAGGACGUGCUAAUCUGCGAUAAGCGUCGGUAAGGUGAUAUGAACCGUUAUAACCGGCGAUUUCCGAAUGGGGAAACCCAGUGUGAUUCGUCACACUAUCAUUAACUGAAUCCAUAGGUUAAUGAGGCGAACCGGGGGAACUGAAACAUCUAAGUACCCCGAGGAAAAGAAAUCAACCGAGAUUCCCCCAGUAGCGGCGAGCGAACGGGGAGGAGCCCAGAGCCUGAAUCAGUGUGUGUGUUAGUGGAAGCGUCUGGAAAGGCGCGCGAUACAGGGUGACAGCCCCGUACACAAAAAUGCACAUGCUGUGAGCUCGAUGAGUAGGGCGGGACACGUGGUAUCCUGUCUGAAUAUGGGGGGACCAUCCUCCAAGGCUAAAUACUCCUGACUGACCGAUAGUGAACCAGUACCGUGAGGGAAAGGCGAAAAGAACCCCGGCGAGGGGAGUGAAAAAGAACCUGAAACCGUGUACGUACAAGCAGUGGGAGCACAGAGCAAUCUGUGUGACUGCGUACCUUUUGUAUAAUGGGUCAGCGACUUAUAUUCUGUAGCAAGGUUAACCGAAUAGGGGAGCCGAAGGGAAACCGAGUCUUAACUGGGCGUUAAGUUGCAGGGUAUAGACCCGAAACCCGGUGAUCUAGCCAUGGGCAGGUUGAAGGUUGGGUAACACUAACUGGAGGACCGAACCGACUAAUGUUGAAAAAUUAGCGGAUGACUUGUGGCUGGGGGUGAAAGGCCAAUCAAACCGGGAGAUAGCUGGUUCUCCCCGAAAGCUAUUUAGGUAGCGCCUCGUGAAUUCAUCUCCGGGGGUAGAGCACUGUUUCGGCAAGGGGGUCAUCCCGACUUACCAACCCGAUGCAAACUGCGAAUACCGGAGAAUGUUAUCACGGGAGACACACGGCGGGUGCUAACGUCCGUCGUGAAGAGGGAAACAACCCAGACCGCCAGCUAAGGUCCCAAAGUCAUGGUUAAGUGGGAAACGAUGUGGGAAGGCCCAGACAGCCAGGAUGUUGGCUUAGAAGCAGCCAUCAUUUAAAGAAAGCGUAAUAGCUCACUGGUCGAGUCGGCCUGCGCGGAAGAUGUAACGGGGCUAAACCAUGCACCGAAGCUGCGGCAGCGACACUGUGUGUUGUUGGGUAGGGGAGCGUUCUGUAAGCCUGUGAAGGUGUCUGUGAGGAUGCUGGAGGUAUCAGAAGUGCGAAUGCUGACAUAAGUAACGAUAAAGCGGGUGAAAAGCCCGCUCGCCGGAAGACCAAGGGUUCCUGUCCAACGUUAAUCGGGGCAGGGUGAGUCGACCCCUAAGGCGAGGCCGAAAGGCGUAGUCGAUGGGAAACAGGUUAAUAUUCCUGUACUUGGUGUUACUGCGAAGGGGGGACGGAGAAGGCUAUGUUGGCCGGGCGACGGUUGUCCCGGUUUAAGCGUGUAGGCUGGUUUUCCAGGCAAAUCCGGAAAAUCAAGGCUGAGGCGUGAUGACGAGGCACUACGGUGCUGAAGCAACAAAUGCCCUGCUUCCAGGAAAAGCCUCUAAGCAUCAGGUAACAUCAAAUCGUACCCCAAACCGACACAGGUGGUCAGGUAGAGAAUACCAAGGCGCUUGAGAGAACUCGGGUGAAGGAACUAGGCAAAAUGGUGCCGUAACUUCGGGAGAAGGCACGCUGAUAUGUAGGUGAAGUCCCUCGCGGAUGGAGCUGAAAUCAGUCGAAGAUACCAGCUGGCUGCAACUGUUUAUUAAAAACACAGCACUGUGCAAACACGAAAGUGGACGUAUACGGUGUGACGCCUGCCCGGUGCCGGAAGGUUAAUUGAUGGGGUCAGCGCAAGCGAAGCUCUUGAUCGAAGCCCCGGUAAACGGCGGCCGUAACUAUAACGGUCCUAAGGUAGCGAAAUUCCUUGUCGGGUAAGUUCCGACCUGCACGAAUGGCGUAAUGAUGGCCAGGCUGUCUCCACCCGAGACUCAGUGAAAUUGAACUCGCUGUGAAGAUGCAGUGUACCCGCGGCAAGACGGAAAGACCCCGUGAACCUUUACUAUAGCUUGACACUGAACAUUGAGCCUUGAUGUGUAGGAUAGGUGGGAGGCUUUGAAGUGUGGACGCCAGUCUGCAUGGAGCCGACCUUGAAAUACCACCCUUUAAUGUUUGAUGUUCUAACGUGGACCCGUGAUCCGGGUUGCGGACAGUGUCUGGUGGGUAGUUUGACUGGGGCGGUCUCCUCCUAAAGAGUAACGGAGGAGCACGAAGGUUGGCUAAUCCUGGUCGGACAUCAGGAGGUUAGUGCAAUGGCAUAAGCCAGCUUGACUGCGAGCGUGACGGCGCGAGCAGGUGCGAAAGCAGGUCAUAGUGAUCCGGUGGUUCUGAAUGGAAGGGCCAUCGCUCAACGGAUAAAAGGUACUCCGGGGAUAACAGGCUGAUACCGCCCAAGAGUUCAUAUCGACGGCGGUGUUUGGCACCUCGAUGUCGGCUCAUCACAUCCUGGGGCUGAAGUAGGUCCCAAGGGUAUGGCUGUUCGCCAUUUAAAGUGGUACGCGAGCUGGGUUUAGAACGUCGUGAGACAGUUCGGUCCCUAUCUGCCGUGGGCGCUGGAGAACUGAGGGGGGCUGCUCCUAGUACGAGAGGACCGGAGUGGACGCAUCACUGGUGUUCGGGUUGUCAUGCCAAUGGCACUGCCCGGUAGCUAAAUGCGGAAGAGAUAAGUGCUGAAAGCAUCUAAGCACGAAACUUGCCCCGAGAUGAGUUCUCCCUGACCCUUUAAGGGUCCUGAAGGAACGUUGAAGACGACGACGUUGAUAGGCCGGGUGUGUAAGCGCAGCGAUGCGUUGAGCUAACCGGUACUAAUGAACCGUGAGGCUUAACCU